RNAcentral lists this long non-coding RNA (213 nucleotides) under Phoenix dactylifera (date palm). RNAcentral's name for it is "long non-coding RNA (PDAC_LNC020655)". Lineage: Eukaryota; Viridiplantae; Streptophyta; Magnoliopsida; Arecales; Arecaceae. The record is from RNAcentral.
UAGAUGAAAACUUUCUUAUCUUUGUGUGAGUAGAAUGAGAAUAUCACAAUAAUUAAUCAAUGUAAGAACUACCAAAAAAUCAAACCACAAGAAAGCGACAAGAAUUUUUAAGGUGGACAACCCUCCAAUAUGAGGAGAAAAAACCACCGGACCUAAGUCCACCACAAACCUCCACUAUCAACAAUAAUGGGCUUAUAAAGUAUCUUCUCUAGG